This 993-nucleotide ribosomal RNA is filed under the name Triticum aestivum (bread wheat). RNAcentral describes it as "partial small subunit ribosomal RNA". The record is from RNAcentral. Lineage: Eukaryota; Viridiplantae; Streptophyta; Magnoliopsida; Poales; Poaceae.
AUGGAAAAGCACGACGAAGUUGAUGAAUUUCUUUCAAGCCUUAACCCGCUCCAACUAGAGGAAUACAACGAGCAUGUAAAGAUGGGCGUUGGAUUCGAUGUAAUCAACACAUGGCUGAAUGACCACGAAAGCUAUGAAUUCAACAAAGAUCCCACGCCGUAUCUGACAAUCUUGCAGCAAGAAUCAGGAGAACAUUCAAUGCCUCAAUCAUCUGAGAACAGCCCAGACAAGAAAAUCUCGGUCAAGAAGAGACCGGUAAAGCCUUCAAGAAAGCUGCAUGGAAAAAUUCCUACUUUUGUCCCAGGAGAUUUCAAAUUUAUGAACAAAGCCAGAGCACUUCAUGAAUACCUAUUCAGCAAAGAAGGACAGGACGAAUGCGGAGAUCUAAACGUAUAUAUUAGCUCGAAGCGACCCGAUUGGAUUACAGGAAAACAAAUGAUGGAACAGCUACGGAAAGGAGAUCAUGGACAGAUGGAGGGAUCCAUCGCAAACGCAUUGUUCGAAGAAUGGACAGUACAACAACAAUACAACACAACCGAUAAAGCCAUACUUCCCGCAGAAUUUGCAAACAUCGUGCUCGGUGUUAAAAUUGGAGAAAAACGAGGACUAGCAGAAUUCAAUGAGGACGAAGCAUUGGAACAAUUUGCACCCCUUGUAACAGGGAAGGAACUUUUAAAGAAAAAGCUGAUUAUGAUACCUCACAACACAGCUAAACACUACACAUUGUACGUGCUCAACAAGUACACGAGCUCCAUCGACAUACUUGACUCACUGAAUUACAGAGACGGAGACGGAAAGAAUACAUGGAAAACAUAUCAUAAGGAUCACCCAGAACUGGGUACCCAAUGCGGACACUUCAUGGUUCAAUUUGCAAAAUACUGGAAUGGCAUUGAUCUCAUAAAAGAUGAUGAGGAUUUCGAUCAAAGCAACGUAGAUGCCGAGUGGAAACCAGAGUUCCUUUUACAGCCAUAUUUGGUGAAACAAACCAAGUAA